GAUCCCCGGGAUCCUCGUGCCACCGCAUCACCAGAUCCCAGGGAUCCUCGUGCCACGGCAUCACCAGAUCCCAGGGAUCCUCGUGCCACAGCAUCACCAGAUCCCAGGAAUCCCUGUGCCACGGCAUCACCAGAUCCCCGGGAUCCUCGUGCCACAGCAUCACCAGAUCCUGGAGAUCCCUGUGCCAUGGCAUCAGUGGAUCCUAGGGAUCCUCGUGCCACGGCAUCACCAGAUCCUGGAGAUCCCCGUGCCAUGGCAUCAGUGGAUCCUAGGGAUCCUCAUGGCAUGGCACCACCGGAUCCUAGGGAUCCUCGUGCCACGGCAUCACCAGAUCCUGGGGAUCCCCGUGCCACGGCACCACUGGAUCCUGGGGAUCCUUGUGCUGUUGCACCACUGGAUCUUAGGGAUCCUCGUGCUGUUGCACCACUGGAUCUUAGGGAUCCCCAUGCCACUGCACUACUGGAUCCUAGGGAUCCCUGUGCCUUGGCACCACCAGAUCCUAGGGAUCCCCGUGCCACAGCAGCACCAGAUCCCAUGCAUCCCCGUGCCACAGCAGCACCAGAUCCUAGGGAUCCUCGUGCCAUGGCAUCACCAGAUCCUAGGGAUCCCCGUGCCACAGCACCACCAGAUCCCAGGGAUCCCCUGUCCCCAGCACCACCGGAUCCCACGGAUCCCCCCAGCACAGCUCUGCAGAAUCCAGCCGUUUCCCUUCACUCCCCAGAUCCCAAAGAUCCCCACGCCUCCGCACCGCUGGAUUUCGGGGAUCCCGAUGACGAAACCCCACCGGAUCCCAACCAACCUCACACCAAACCUCCGGAUCCCGACCCCCCCUUCCCUCCCCCACCUCCCCGCCGUCUCCUCCUCUUCCUCCUCUCCCAUUCCUUCCUCCUGACCCCAGCAGCCCAAGCUCAGCUCCUUUGGAAUCUGGGGGGCACCGAAAACCCUUCGCCCCCCCCUCCGACCCCAUCCCCAAUUCCAAACCAUCUGCUGCCCACCGUAGAGCCAGCGUUGCUUCAUUCCAUCCUCCGGGGGUCCCGGGGGGGGGGAGGGGGAGGAAAUGGGGGUCGUCACCCCAUCCUUCCUUCCUUCCAACGCCGUUUGGUUUCUUUAACCCAACACCCCGCCCUUCAUCCUUCCCUGCGCCUCUUCUUCCUCUUCUGCCUCUCUAACCCCCCCGUGCCCCCCCUCCCCCCCGAUUUAGCGUCCAACCUCUUCCCCAAUUUCGCCGACCCCCCCGAAUUUCUCUUGCCCCGUUUCGAGCUGGCGGCUUCUUCUUGUUUUGACGGUGAUGAUGAUGAUGGUGAUGGUGAUG
RNAcentral lists this long non-coding RNA (1312 nucleotides) under Phasianus colchicus (ring-necked pheasant). RNAcentral's name for it is "lncRNA (ENSPCLG00000017830.1)". The record is from RNAcentral. Lineage: Eukaryota; Metazoa; Chordata; Aves; Galliformes; Phasianidae.